UUGGAAGUGGAUUUCCUGCUUUUGAUACAGGCUUUACUCCAUUCGGGUCACUAGGUCAUGGGGGUCUCACUUCAUUUUCUUCAGCGUCAUUUGGCGGCAGUGGAAUGGGCAACUUCAAAUCAAUAUCAACUUCAACUAAAAUAGUUAAUGGCAAAAAAAUCACUACAAAGAGAAUUGUGGAGAACGGUCAGGAAAGAGUAGAAGUUGAAGAAGACGGACAGUUAAAGUCCCUGACGAUAAAUGGUAAGGAGCACCUGCUACGCUUGGAUAACAAGUAAUUCAACGCACGCAUUUAACAGAAAUGCUAAACCAUAACAAGCACCAUUUGAGGAAUAACAGGAACUUUUUUUUUUGAAGAUUUCAAACGAACUCGACUUUCUGUAUAACUGUACCUAAUCUAAAGUAUUUAUAAUACAGCUCAUCGGACCCCCCAUUUGUCAGAUUUUUGAGUUUGUUGUUGGGACCACAAAAUAGGACCUUUCUUUUUCUUUUUUCUUUUUUCUUUUUUUUUUUUUUUUUUUUUUGUCUUUAAAAUUGUUGUAAUCUCUGUAUGCACUUUGCUUUAAACAAAACGUGAUCUGAGGUGAGCUCUGUGACUCCUGAGUAGUGCUAGGACGAGAUUGUCUUUAACACCAGCAUGGAUCUGCUUCCCACUGUGUUGAAUUGUGAGUAGUGUCAGCCUGCUGUGAAGUUACCAUUGCCAGAUGAAUGUCUACAGAAAUAUUUCAACUUUAUUUUCAGUAUUUAGUGAUGUAAGCUAUUACUGCAUCAAUGGUAAUACAUUUCUGGUUUAGUGUAAAUUAAGGAUGUUUUCUAGUUGUGCAUGGAUGCUGGCAACCUCGUCAGUUUGACUAUUGUUUAAAUAUGUAAUGUUAAGCUUAGGUUUAAAAAAAAAAAGCUGGUAAUUUGGGUUUUUGUCAUUUGCUUUAAAAAAAAAAAUAAAUGCGAAUGUGUUUGGUGCAUUCUUUCAUGAGCGGGGUCUGCA
RNAcentral lists this long non-coding RNA (985 nucleotides) under Rattus norvegicus (Norway rat). RNAcentral's name for it is "long non-coding RNA NONRATT020104". The record is from RNAcentral. Lineage: Eukaryota; Metazoa; Chordata; Mammalia; Rodentia; Muridae.